Molecule: ribosomal RNA, 447 nt
Filed under: uncultured bacterium
Lineage: Bacteria
Description: partial 16S ribosomal RNA
Rfam family: Bacterial small subunit ribosomal RNA
Source: RNAcentral
AACGAACGCUGGCGGCAGGCUUAACACAUGCAAGUCGAACGCAUCGCAAGAUGAGUGGCAGACGGGUGAGUAACGCGUGGGAACAUACCCUUUUCUACGGAAUAGCUCUGGGAAACUGGAAUUAAUACCGUAUACGCCCUACGGGGGAAAGAUUUAUCGGGGAAGGAUUGGCCCGCGUUGGAUUAGCUAGUUGGUGGGGUAAAGGCCUACCAAGGCGACGAUCCAUAGCUGGUCUGAGAGGAUGAUCAGCAACAUUGGGACUGAGACAAGGCCCAAACUCCUACGGGAGGCAGCAGUGGGGAAUAUUGGACAAUGGGCGCAAGCCUGAUCCAGCCAUGCCGCGAGAGUGAUGAUGGCCUUAGGGUUGUAAAGCUCUUUCACCGAUGAAGAUAAUGACGGUAGUCGGAGAAGAAGCCCCGGCUAACUUCGUGCCAGCCGCCGCGGUAA